UACGUAGGUGGCAAGCGUUAUCCGGAAUUAUUGGGCGUAAAGCGCGCGCAGGUGGUUUCUUAAGUCUGAUGUGAAAGCCCACGGCUCAACCGUGGAGGGUCAUUGGAAACUGGGAGACUUGAGUGCAGAAGAGGAAAGUGGAAUUCCAUGCGUAGCGGUGAAAUGCGUAGAGAUAUGGAGGAACACCAGUGGCGAAGGCGACUUUCUGGUCUGUAACUGACACUGAGGCGCGAAAGCGUGGGGAGCAAACAGG
Molecule: ribosomal RNA, 253 nt
Filed under: uncultured bacterium
Lineage: Bacteria
Description: partial 16S ribosomal RNA
Rfam family: Bacterial small subunit ribosomal RNA
Source: RNAcentral